RNAcentral lists this ribosomal RNA (465 nucleotides) under uncultured bacterium. Its description in RNAcentral is "partial 16S ribosomal RNA". It matches the Rfam family "Bacterial small subunit ribosomal RNA", at positions 338 to 795 of the family's 1533-position model. The record is from RNAcentral.
CCUACGGGAGGCAGCAGUGGGGAAUAUUUCGCAAUGGGCGAAAGCCUGACGCAGCGACGCCGCGUGAGGGAUGAAGGUCUUCGGAUCGUAAACCUCUGUCAGCAGGGAAGAACGGUCACUGUGCUAAUCAGCAGUGAAUUGACGGUACCUGCAAAGGAAGCACAGGCUAACUCCGUGCCAGCAGCCGCGGGAAUACGGAGGGGGCGAGCGUUAAUCGGAAUUACGGGGCGUAAAGCGCUCGUAGGCGGUAUGUUAAGUCAAGGGUGAAAUCCCCGCGCUCAACGUGGGAACUGCCUUUGAAACUGGCAAACUGGAGUGUGUGAGAGGAUAGUGGAAUUCUAGGUGUAGGAGUGAAAUCCGUAGAUAUCUGGAGGAACAUCAGUGGCGAAGGCGACUAUCUGGCACAUAACUGACGCUGAGGAGCGAAAGCGAGGGUAGCAAACAGGAUUAGAUACCCGGGUAGUC